CAGUAGCCGCGGUAAUACGAAGGGUGCAAGCGUUACUCGGAAUUACUGGGCGUAAAGCGUGCGUAGGUGGUGGUUUAAGUCCGUUGUGAAAGCCCUGGGCUCAACCUGGGAAUUGCAGUGGAUACUGGGUCACUAGAGUGUGGUAGAGGGUAGUGGAAUUUCCGGUGUAGCAGUGAAAUGCGUAGAGAUCGGAAGGAACAUCUGUGGCGAAGGCGACUAUCUGGGCCAACACUGACACUGAGGCACGAAAGCGUGGGGAGCAAACAGGAUUAGAUACCCCGGUAGUCCCUGUCUCUUAUAC
RNAcentral lists this ribosomal RNA (301 nucleotides) under uncultured bacterium. Its description in RNAcentral is "partial 16S ribosomal RNA". It matches the Rfam family "Bacterial small subunit ribosomal RNA", at positions 509 to 807 of the family's 1533-position model. The record is from RNAcentral.